AGUAGGUAUCUCAGUGGUAGAGUGCAUGCUUUGUGUGUAUGAGGUCCUGGGUUCAAUCCCCAUUCUCAAUUG
RNAcentral lists this transfer RNA (72 nucleotides) under Dallia pectoralis (Alaska blackfish). Its description in RNAcentral is "tRNA-Thr". The stretch from base 4 to 66 matches the Rfam family "tRNA", at positions 5 to 66 of the family's 71-position model. Rfam says of the family: Transfer RNA (tRNA) molecules are approximately 80 nucleotides in length. Their secondary structure includes four short double-helical elements and three loops (D, anti-codon, and T loops). Further hydrogen bonds mediate the characteristic L-shaped molecular structure. tRNAs have two regions of fundamental functional importance: the anti-codon, which is responsible for specific mRNA codon recognition, and the 3' end, to which the tRNAs corresponding amino acid is attached (by aminoacyl-tRNA synthetases). tRNAs cope with the degeneracy of the genetic code in two manners: having more than one tRNA (with a specific anti-codon) for a particular amino acid; and 'wobble' base-pairing, i.e. permitting non-standard base-pairing at the 3rd anti-codon position. Lineage: Eukaryota; Metazoa; Chordata; Actinopteri; Esociformes; Umbridae. The record is from RNAcentral.